RNAcentral lists this ribosomal RNA (376 nucleotides) under uncultured bacterium. Its description in RNAcentral is "bacterial SSU rRNA". It matches the Rfam family "Bacterial small subunit ribosomal RNA", at positions 524 to 898 of the family's 1533-position model. The record is from RNAcentral.
UACGUAGGGCGCAAGCGUUGUCCGGAAUUAUUGGGCGUAAAGAGCUCGUAGGCGGCCUGUCGCGUCCGCUGUGAAAUCCCGGGGCUUAACCCCGGGCGUGCAGUGGAUACGGGCUGGCUAGAGGCAGGCAGGGGAGAACGGAAUUCCCGGUGUAGCGGUGAAAUGCGCAGAUAUCGGGAGGAACACCGGUGGCGAAGGCGGUUCUCUGGGCCUGUUCUGACGCUGAGGAGCGAAAGCGUGGGGAGCAAACAGGAUUAGAUACCCUGGUAGUCCACGCCGUAAACGUUGGGCGCUAGGUGUGGGUCCCUUCCACGGGGUCUGCGCCGCAGCUAACGCAUUAAGCGCCCCGCCUGGGGAGUACGGCCGCAAGGCUAAA